GGGAGGUUUGAGUUUUUUGUUCUUCUGAGAAGUUGUGGAAUGAUUCAAUCUUGUUUUGUUCUAAAUUUUUAUAUGAUUUGGCAAUUAGGGCUGAACAGAUUACUGUGGCAGUCUGAUACGGGGUCAUUUAUUUACUUCUACAUCUGACAGGCAAAGUGUCUUUGCAGGACUCUGCAAAUGAAUUUAAUCGUGUUGUUGGAGAAUCCGUCACCUUGCCGUGCAUAUAUAAACAGCAAAGUACCGAUGUUUAUUGGCGGCACAAUGUAAGCAGGAAAGUGUUAAGUAUUAUAAGUGGCAAGCCCUCACCAGAAAGCCAGGAUGAAAUAUUCAGGAAUCGAACAAAAAGUUUUCCUUCAAAGUAUCCUGAGGGAAAUUACUCAAUUGAGCUGAAAGAUCUGGAGUUGUCUCAUGCAGGAAUCUACACUUGUUUCUUAGAAAAGUCAGAUGAGAAAAGGAAAAUACAGCUUUUUGUCAGAGAGAAGCCUGAAAAACCAACAGAAAAGCCUGAAAAACCAACAGAAAAGCCCAUAAAACCAACUCCAAACCAGGGAAACUCAAGCAUGGAAACACAGUCACUGAAGAUUAUGCCCUUCCUAAUUGCUGUACUGGGACUCACUCUGCACCUUAUCUGAGUUUUGCUUCCAGUGCCUGUUACAUUUGGUUGCAUUUAGUGACAAUGACUAACUGGGUUUGCUGUUGACACUUGAUGCCAAAGGUUUUAUUCUCAAUCUGUAAGUUUGGACAACUGGAUCGCUCACAUGCUGUGUGUAUGCUAUCACUCUGGACUGUGCUGUUGAGUUUAGUUCCGUUGAUAUGUUUUGUCUGUAUUAUUAGGGGUCAAGCACCGCAGCUAUUUUAUUCAUUAGUGGGUCAUUCCGUGUCAAAUCAACCAAAUAUUUCUUUCUUUUUUUUUUAAUUCCCUGGUUCAAAUUUUUUAUUUUGCUAAUACAUAUAGCCUAUAUUUUGAAGAAAGACAUACAGUGAUGAAUGCCAAACUAUUAUUUGUCAUGGAUGAAUAUUUAUGAAUAAUCCACUAUUUUGUAGAGGGGGUCAAAAUUACAAUUUUCCUUAUUUGGGGGUAUUGAUUGUACCUGUCUGAGUUCCAUAAAUAUUAUUUUCCUAAGUUCCUGCAUUCCUAUAACUCAAGAAGUAUUAAACACAUCACAAUAUGAUAUAAAAUUCUAGUUUUCAAUAAACCUUUCUUUUAAAAUCUUCAUUUUCAAGGCCGUACAUCAUUCAGUCCCAAAGAUAUGGGGAUCUUAAUUCAUUUUCAGAUUCUUGAGUAUUACUUGGUUAAAUACCAAAUGUUGGUCACUUUGUAUACAGCUGAUAAUAUAUUUAAAGCAGAAUUUCUGAAGAAAAUGUAAUGUUUAAACUAGGAAUGCAUCUUGUUUCCCUCUGUCAAAACAAUUGUAUAGAACCUGGAGUGCUAAAAUGCAUCCUAUAGGCAUGCGAACUUUGGAUAAAUAAUAUUUAUGGCAUAUUUGUUCAAUGCGGUUGUUUUGACAGGAGUAAACGAGAUACAUCUCUAGUUUCAACGUUAUUUGUUCUUUAGACAAUCCUCUUUAAAAGAAAAGAAUAUCGUAUUUUUGCAAAGUGACCCACAUUUGGUUUUUGACCACUGAAAAUGUGUACAUUUUAACAAUUUACUCUUGGAGCCAUAUUAAAAUUCCAAUAUCUCUGGAACUGAAGAAUACAGGGCCUUAAAAAUGAAGAUGCCAAAAGUAAAGUUUGUUAAGACCCAAUAUAUAAAAGGGCAUUAAGAUAUCUUUUAUACACGCAUGCAAACUUGGUAGAACACACUUGAAUAGUGUUGUUUCCACAUUUUUUAAUGGUCACCAUUGGCACAAAAUACAACAAAGAUUGCUAAAGUCAACAAAUUUUACUAACAGACUACCACUAUCUGUGUAAAAAUAACAUUAUGAUGCUGCCAUUUUUCUGAAGUAAUUUUUACCUCCCUGUGAUUUGGCUCUUAAUCUCAGGGGAAAAUUGCCAUUUUGACCCUACUAAUAGAUUAGUCAGUAAAUGUUCAUCCAUGACAUUUAAUAAUUUAGCUUUCAUCACUAUGCAUAUCUGUCUUUCUUCAGAAAAAAAUAUUAGCAAAAUUAAAAAUUUGAGCCAUGGACCUCUGGUUGAGUUGACACAGAAGGACCCAAGUGUUCUUAUUAUUCUGAACGUUACCUAGGGAUGGGGAUCACUUUUUCAUUUUCAAAACCAAUAUCAGUUUUGAGUAUCUACCAAUGCUUUUGAUGUUGUUGACACAUGUUCACGGUAGUCAUGUACUCAUGUUCCCUGAGAAAUGCUGAGUAUAGUAUAGUAUUUAUUGCAUAAACUACUUCAGCCAAUUGCUUCUAGGUUAACAAAACAAAAGCACUGAAAUAGAAACCUGAGUGGUCAAUUUUUAAUUGCAUUUUAAUAAAAUGGCUACAACUCUUAAACAAAAUGAGAUAUUUUUACUAAAUUGAAAUCCCCUCCACGACUGUGUCAUAUCAGUUUCUUCACGUCAAUUUUCAUCAGUGUUUUUGCCGUUAUUGUACAGUACGUGGCUCUUUAACCACUACUUCCAACUUUUUAUAUUGUAUUUGCUAUUACAUUUGGUUUGCUGGUUUUGUCUCUGUAUCAAGUGCAGUGUUAGAUUUACAGUUACAAUAUGACAUAGUUACAAUAUAGGAACAUAAGCCAUUUAUCGCAGAUAUAGAUAAAAUGUCAGAGCAGUUUUUGAAACAUUACAGCAAAAAAAAAAUAUAUAAUUGCCACACACAGACUGCAAACACAAAAAGCUUUCAGACACAAUGCUGAAUUCAGUUGUCUUUCACAGCUUUUUGCAUUUCUGGGGUCAUAUAAACACAACUUUACAGCUACUCAACUUUUUUAAAACACAGAUUUAAAAACACAGGUCAUGCAGUGUUUUGUUUACAUUUGAUUUAAUGUCUGUAGUAUUUUGUACCUGAAUGCUACUGUCAAAUAUCUAUAUUAUGAUACACAACUGUAAUAAAAUUACUCUUAUCUUGAAGAAUCAUGAAGUAAUGCAUAUCAUGAAGUAAUUUGGUCAAAUUGCCAGUUGUAUUAUUGAACACACAAGUCAUUUUAUCUGUGUUUAUUUUAUCUUCAAAGAGCAUGAAUUUUUAUGUAACAAUCUGCUAAACCAUUAAAAAUAAAGAGAUGUAUUUAGAAAAAAAUCUGUGGUGUUCUCAAUUCAGAUCUGCACAAACUGAUAGAUAUUUUUGACAUUAAAUGAAAAGUUGUAAUUGCUACAUCCAUUUGGAGGGGUUUCUCACUGGUUGGAGAACAUUUGACUGGCAGCUGUAUAAAGCCAACAAAUAUGAAUUUCAGUCACAGAAACCUUGUUUGAUUUGUGGAGUUGCCGUUCCACUACUUGCAUUAUUGUCAACAUACAAUUAUUUCACAUUCAGAAUGGCAUUCCAUCUGAAAUUUUAUUCAUUGAGAAACAUACAGUAUACUGCAAAAAGUGUGUGUUAAAGAAUGAAAUCAUGUUGUUGAAGGAGACAGGAGUUUUAUUGGAUUUAUAGUUGACAAGAAAAGUUGUUUUAGAGGUUGAGCAUGAAAGAUUGCAAAAACUACAACAUUAUUUUUCUUUUUAAUAAUGUGUGCCUUAUGUAUAUUAUAAGUAACAGUAUGUGUAAGGUACAUGAUUUUAUAGACAGUUUAGACAUGUUCUUUGGUAGCACCUGCUGGUGGGACCCCAAACUGCAAAUGCACAGAUUUUCUCACAACCCCUGAUUUGAACAUGUGGUCAGUGAUAUUGGGAUUCUGGCUAAAGUAUAUACAAAACUGCAAAUUUCUAUCAAACCACUCAAAUAUUUUUUCCGUUCCAAAAUAAGCUGGUGUUUUAUUAAAACGUAUGCAAAACAGUAUACUGUAGGCUCUUAUGCCAUCCUUUGUGUGGCUGUUUGUCUUGUAGUUUAAAUGUAUUGUUCUAGAUCAGUGAAUUUGUAGCUUCCCAAGUGUUUUGAGAAAAACCCAAAUAGUAUAGCUAUGGAUUCAUGUAUAAUAACCCUUUAUUUUCGUUCAAAAAUUUUCUGCUUAUUUUUACUGUUGUUCAGUCUUUGGUUGUCUUGUUCAAAAAAUGUCAGUGCAUAGUUGUACAAGGGGUAUUUUGAUAAUUUUUUAGAUAUAUCUUUAAUGUGCAUCUGGCUCCAGCCUGCCCCCAUAUGAUGUCAAUUUAACUGGAAAAAGCAACGAAUAAAUAAAAGUGCUGUGUGAGCAUGUGUUCAUCUCUGACUUCCCCUCUGGUCUGUGUGGUCGAGUAUCUGAAGCUCAGUAGUGUUUCCGCUCGCAGUAUACGGGAUGUUUGAAUGAUCACAGUACUGAAGGUAUUCAUCUGGAUCAGACAAUGAAGAUCAUACAGCUUCACAUCUAUCUGUUGAUGUGGUCUCAAGCUGCAGAGAGUCUAACAAACACAGCAGUAACUUUAGGAGCUGAUGUGAUUAUAAGCUGUGAUCUUGAUAUAGAGGAGAUUUACUGGUACAGACAGAAAUCACCAGAUCCUCCAGUGUUGAUAUUACGCACUUAUGACAGCACAUAUGAAGGAGCUGAAUAUGAAAACAGGAUCUUAAAACUCAAAUACUCGGUGAAAACUAACAGUCGACUGUUCAUCAGAAAUAUCAGCACUGAUGAAUUAGGAGUUUAUUAUUGUGUCAAAACUAGUGAACCACAAAAAUUCAGCAACGGCACCAAAAUCUACAUCAACGAAUCACAUGAGACUGAAUGGAGCAGCCUAACCAUUACAUCUCUCCUGCUGAAUGUGCUUCUGAUCAUCGCAUUAAUAGGUUUGGGAAAGUAUUACCUUCAGGCAAGAAGAUUUAAAAAUAGUUCAGAGAUCCCUCAAAGUACCACAUCAGCACAAUACUCAAAUGAUAUACAGUAUGCUGCAGUUGAUUUGUCCAUGCACCCCAGUGAAAACAGGCCUUGCCAGGAGCAGAGCAUCUAUUCUCUUCUACAGCCAGUAAAAAGUGCAAGGUGAUAGACGUUAUAAAAAUAUGUAAGUUUGUUUAACACUUCUGUACUUCCAUCUGUGGGAUUUCAUAGUAUGACCUGUUAUUCUAAAAUGGUUUAAAUAGUAAAAAAAUAAGUGAAUGUGUCUAAACGUUUGACUGCUGUUGUUAUUUAAUAUUUAAAAUCAAGUUGCAGAGCAUUGAACAGAAAGAUGAAUUGAGAUCAGAUUUGAAACAAAGUUGAACUAAAUCGGUUGACAAGAUUACUGGACUUAAAAUCUUCUUAUACAAAUAUUCAGUGCAGGGGAACCUUGCGCUUGGAUGAAUGCAGACGGUUCAUAGUAACAGUCAAUUCUGAGGUGAUUUGUCACAUUACUUAAACUUGUAAAGUUCCACAUGAAAAAUAUAAUUAAAAUAAAAUGAACGUAGUGAACACUGGGGCUAUUUGGCA
Cyprinus carpio (common carp) is the source of this 5406-nucleotide RNA transcript. It is a transcript of the gene named V-set domain containing T-cell activation inhibitor 1-like, with no coding region annotated. The transcript is spliced from 8 exons. The record is from RefSeq and is a predicted model, not a curated record. Lineage: Eukaryota; Metazoa; Chordata; Actinopteri; Cypriniformes; Cyprinidae.